Molecule: transfer RNA, 76 nt
Filed under: Escherichia coli
Lineage: Bacteria; Pseudomonadati; Pseudomonadota; Gammaproteobacteria; Enterobacterales; Enterobacteriaceae
Also listed under: 2 other names
Description: tRNA-Gly
Rfam family: tRNA
About the family: Transfer RNA (tRNA) molecules are approximately 80 nucleotides in length. Their secondary structure includes four short double-helical elements and three loops (D, anti-codon, and T loops).
Source: RNAcentral
GCGGGAAUAGCUCAGUUGGUAGAGCACGACCUUGCCAAGGUCGGGGUCGCGAGUGCGAGUCUCGUUUCCCGCUCCA